Molecule: long non-coding RNA, 2052 nt
Organism: Cyprinus carpio carpio
Lineage: Eukaryota; Metazoa; Chordata; Actinopteri; Cypriniformes; Cyprinidae
Source: Ensembl
AUGAAACGUAGAACAUAUAAAAAAGUGUUCAUGGCUUGUCUACCAGUGGGUGCCUCCCCCACCAAGCAUAAAAGUGAAACUUCGCCUAUGUUCACAUGCCGAGUUGGAUACAGCAAUCUGUCAUGUGAUAUUAUAACUGUAACCUAGUUGUAAUCGAAUUGUAAACUGUAAUCGACUUAAAUCUCAUAAUUGUUUGGAUUUUUUUUCCACAAAAUAUUACAACUUUAAUCUCGUAAUCUUAGAAUUGUAUUUUUUUUUUUUUUUUUUUUUACGUGGCACUAACGCCAUGUUAGUAUUUAUUGGUGAUUAAAUUGUAUAGGCCUAUGUUGAAAUAGAUUAUUGUACAGAUGCAGUAUUGAAUACAUACUGAGUAGCCUACAUAUUGAAUGUUAAAUGAUCUUGCCGACAAUUUCAUCCAGAUGCAGGCAAAGUCGAAAACACCUACUCAAUGCAAUGGACCUUCUAGUGUAAACAAAUGCUGGGCAUUUUUGACAUCUAUAUAUAAAUCAGGUUGCCAGAUAUAUAGAUAUUUUACUGAAUUUAAGAGAUAACAAAUCACACAAAAUAAUAAAAUAUGUUUCAAACAAAGGUCUCAUAUUAUUUGAAACUAUUUAUUAUAUAUUGAAAAUAUUUAGACAGUUGCAAUUACUUUUGUAAACACAGACAGUCCUACCACUUUUUAAUUAGGUUCUUCUAAUGACCUUAAGCGGCUUAGCUCACUCAGUCACCUAAUAAUCAAUAAACUCCAUCAGCUGUGUCCAGCUGUAGAAAGACUUUCUCUUUAAUGUGUUCAUCUAAGGAACAGAAGCUGAUUUCUGCUGCUAUCAGAACACAUGCUGGACUUGUUUACAUACAGGCUGAGUUUAGCACAAUCAGAGGGGCUUAAUGGAUUUAUACAUGUACUCAGGAGACAAACCCUGGCAGUUUAACCCAGCUGUGGCCAGGACGCUUCCGCUAAUUAAUGAAGCUCAACAACUACAAACACAACACAUUGUAGUGUUUCUAUUAGACAUUUCCUGUCUUUUUUUUUUACCACUUAAAUAUGUGAUGCACAAUUAAAAAUCCAUGCUGGACUGUAUAAUUUCACUGUUUUCCAUUUUGACAAAUUAACCAGCAUACAAAUUAUUCCCAUCCUCCCUGGCUUUACUAAAAGGAAUCCACUGGCAGGAAUGCACCUUUUGACUGUUAAACUGGCAUAUGGAUUGUUUUACAAUAAAAUAUGGGACAUGUUAUUGUCAUAAAUGUAAUAAAGCCUGAAAGUCAUAUCUUGAGCUUUAUCCUGCUGAUGUGCAGCUCUGUGGUAUUUCCCCCCAUGGUUCCAUAGUGAAAUCCCUGUCCUGCUGAGAUACAUAUGAUUAUAUUAGCCUCUUACUCCCAGUGCAGGAAGAAAAACCUGCCACAGUUUGGCAAAGGUACAGAUAUCGCUCCGCUUGUAUUUUUCAGCACACCUCAGCAAUUUGCUGGCUAAAGCUGUUGUAAAAGUUGUUUUUGUGUAGUGUUUUCCUUUUUUUUUUAUUUUUUAUUUAUUUAUUUAUUUUUUUGUGGCACUCCACAUUUGAUUACAUUUAAAGCCUUUGACACUGUGAUAGGUUUAAAGACAUUCCAUUUAAAAUAAUUAAAUGUAUUUAUUUAGUAGGGCUUUAGAAAACAACAACAAAAAACUUUAAAUAUUAGAAUAGAAUUUUGUUUGUUUGUUUUCUAAGUUCAGAUGAAAGUUGUAUUUCUCACAUUACACAGCAAUUAUUUUUGGUACAAGGGAAGCAAAAAUGGAGUCCAGUUGUUCUGUUUUUUUUUGUUGCAUUUAGUGUUGUGUUUUGUUAUAUUUUUUGUUGUUGCUUUUUUCACACUAUGGUAAAAAGGCACUGAAAUGUGUUGUCAACAUCCUACUUUCUUUUAUUUUGUUUCUUUCUUUUGGUUUGUUAAGUUGGGUUUUGUUUAGACUCGCUGAGAUUUUUUAUUUUAUUAUUAAUUAUUAUUAUUAUUAUUAUUAUUAUUAUUAUUUACAUUAUGGUACAAAGGUAUUGAAAUGUGCUUUCUACCCCCUUGUUUUGU